UUAAUUCGAUUAUAUAUAUGGGAGUAGAGCUACUAUAUGCUAUCGGAAAUAUAGAGGAACUGGUGCUUUCAAUUUUUUGGUCCUUAGAUCAAUCUUGUUUAUCAUUUUUAAUCUUUGGAUUAAUACUAUUAUCCUAUAGAGACCACUCAACAAUAGAAUUACCAUUCAACCUAAGGGAACCGCAAUCAUCCUAUUCAUUUAAUUCUUGAUCCAAAGGUCAAAAAGUCAGAAGCACCAAGUCUUCUAUACUUUCGAUAGUAUAGUAAUUCUACACAUAUAUGGUUCAUGUCCUUUUGGCUUUUGCCUUUUAGCUUCUAGUUCCAGAGUUGUUUUGUUACGGCAUGAAAUAAUUGCAGUUUAAACAGAACGGUAAUUAUUAGAUAAAAUAUAUAUAUAUAUAUAUACCGACCGUCCCUAAAGCAAAUGGCAAAGGGCUUGUUGGUUGGUACCCGAGACCCAAAUUCGAAUUCUAGUUGAUAGUUCUUAAAUAGCUAUAUAUAGAAGAUUUAUGAAUGGGUGUAAAAUAUAUACCUUUUUUGUGGUGUAUCAGUAGCAUUGCUCGUGGCGCAUAUUGUACAUACUAAAAAUAAGGAUAAACUUCAAAUACCAUCUAUGUGGUUUCGCAUUUUCUCACUUUACUAUCCUGUGGUUUAAAGUGCAUCAAGUUAGUACCCUGUGGUUUUAUUUUUUUCCUUUCGUCAACUCCUCCGUUAAUAUUUCGUUAAAUUAUAUACAAAAAAAACUUCAGAUACCCAACUAGGUUUAUCGAAUAUUCACUUUAAUACUCUUUAGUUUUAACUUUGUCACUGAUUUAAUAAAAAAACUUAAUAAAAUAAAAAAUAAAAAGAAAAAAAAAACCAUCUAUACUCUUAUAUGAAUCCUCAAUAUGAAAUGAUGACGUGGCAAGCUUUCAUUUUUUUUAAUUUACGUUUUAUCUCCACUUCUAAAUGCUCAACCCUUCACCUCUCCACAUUUAAUUAUAUUCAUCAUAUUCCACCAAUUAAUGAGCUUAAUUUGUAACUCCAAUCCACUCCCCUCCACCAUUAAUCCCUCACCAUCUCUUUUGCAUGAUAUGUUCUGAAUCCCCAAUAUGAAAUAAUGACUUGGCAAGCUCUCAUUUUUUUAAAUUUACGUUUCAUCUCCAUUUCUAAAUGCUCAACCCUUCACCUCCCCACAUUUAAUUACAUGCAUCAUAUUCUACCAAUUAGUGAGCUUAAUUUGUAACUCCAAUCCUCUCCUCUCCACCAUUAAUCCCCCCACCUCCUCUUUUUUGCAUAACAUGUUAUUUUCCAUGCAAAAAAGAAGAUUUUCAUGUAAUCGCUCACCUCACACUCUCUCUAUCUCAUUGUGUUAACAAAGAUUAUGAGGAUAAUGAAGAAGAAGAGCAUGCGAAGAACGUUGUCUCCUUCAAGAAAUAUUGUCCUGUAAAGUCCAGCCGUGGCUUAUAUAAGUGCUCGCGCAGACCGGUCUGCGCCGAAGCCCUCGCUCGCCGUGAACCGUCGCCACCUCGGCUGUCUCCUCGCGUGGCUCGCGCAUGCCCACACUGGGCCGAGGGGAGCGACGUCCUAGCCUCCUCUUCGCGGGGGCGUUGUGCGGGAGCUCGCUUCUCAAGAAUCGCAGGGACUUCUUGGUAAAUCAAAUUGUUUAAGUAUUAGAAUUUCUGUGGUUGAUGUGAUGGCAAGACUGUAUCGGUUUAGAUAUCGCAGUUUGGUGAUGCAGAUGAGAUGUUUGUUCAUAGGUUACAAUGAAAAUUCAGAAGUGACUCGACGCGGGAAGCAACUACCAGCUGAAAAUUAAGAAGAUGUAUAAGGUUUGGAUAAGUAAGAGAAGUGCUCCAAAAAAAUAUUAGUUUUUUUAAGAUUGAUGUUUUUUGUUUUAUUUUCAUCUUAUGACCAUUUUUUUUUAGUAAACACUGUUGUGGGCAAAAUUCUUUUCAUAGAUUAAAAAGUAUGAUGUGGAGACUGGAGCCUGAGACCCCACCCAAAAUUUUCUUAAGCCAAAAACGUUAAGUUAUUAUUUAUGUAUUUCAUAUGUUUCUAGCUAUGAUUUUAUUUUUUAACAAUUGAAUUUAGUUAUACAAAUUGAUUGUGCUUAACAUGGUAUAACUUCCUAUAAGCUGUAAAUAUAAAUUUUAUUAAAAUUUUAAAAAUUUAUUUUUAUUAUCUACCCGCUACAUCGCGCGGGUCUCUAUACUAGUAUAAUAUUAAAUUGAUACACUUUAAAUUACAUAGUACUAAAAUAAGAAGAC
This 2248-nucleotide long non-coding RNA is filed under the name Ananas comosus (pineapple). RNAcentral describes it as "long non-coding RNA (ACOM_LNC009376)". Lineage: Eukaryota; Viridiplantae; Streptophyta; Magnoliopsida; Poales; Bromeliaceae. The record is from RNAcentral.